GCUAUCAGGAAAGGCUGUUGUGGGCAGCAACACAGCUGGACGUUCCUUUGCUUACUGAUGGGAGAUUCAUAAGCAGAGACAGGGUUUCACUGUGUUAGCCAGGAUGGUCUCGAUCUCCUGACCUCAUGAUCCGCCCGCCUCGGCCUCCCAAAGUGCUGGAAUUACAGACGUGAGCCACUACGCCUGGCCGAGAAACCUAUUUUUGAUGUUUAUAUUUGGAUACUUGCUCUUGGAGCCUACCUGCCCUGCUGGGAGGAUGCUGGGAACACCUGGAGAGCCAUGUGCAGCUGUUUGGCCAGCAAUCCCAGCUUUGUUCCCAGCCAGCUGCCAGACCUGGGAGUGAGGAAGCCUUCCAGAAGACCCCAGCCUAGUCCCCAUCUGACAGCGACCUCAUGAGAUAUCCUGAGUGAGAUCGACC
Pongo pygmaeus (Bornean orangutan) is the source of this 418-nucleotide long non-coding RNA. RefSeq lists it as uncharacterized. The record is from RefSeq and is a predicted model, not a curated record. NCBI's taxonomy places the organism in Eukaryota, Metazoa, Chordata, Mammalia, Primates, Hominidae. The transcript is spliced from 3 exons.